UGAAGGAAACGGAAAGAGCCCGGCGGGGUGCAGGGGUAGGGCUUGCCCCGGGCGGUCCUGGAGGGUCGGGGCACUAUGGGUACCACUUUCUUGAAACGGAGGUGAGCUCCUCGGGCCUGACAACCCCUUCCCGGUGCCUCCGAGCCCGCCCUGCGUGGGAAACCGGCCUGAAGCCUUUCAAAUUUAAACAAAGCCAUGUCUGUGACUGUGGUUUGGAGUUAUCUAUUAGAGUCUGGUGGGCUCGUUAGAGGGUACAAAACUGGAGGCAAUGCACCCCUCCCACCAAGAAAUGGACAAUCUUCUAUUAGUGAGGCAUGGAGUCUCUCACUUUGAACUGUCUUACUAUUUUGCAGGGACACCAUCAUACUUAGAGGGCCAUUUUCUCUUAUUCUUGCUAAUGGUGAAGUACUUACAAACAAAACCAACCAGUCAAACAGACCCUUAAGGCAUUAAAGAAGAACGGCUUGAGAUGACACUCUUUGAACUCUGGGAAGAUGAGUGAGACGUUCUUGAGACUUGGCUAUAAGGGACUUUUCCUGCCACAGCCUGUUGAGAAGAUCAUAGGAAGAACUGAGGAAGAACGAAUCUGGCAGUAAAAUGAAGAUGAAGGUUGCAACAGCCUCCAAGAUCUCUUAGAUCCGUACCUAAUCCUCAGAAACUUGUUCUGGGGAAGGAGAGCUUGGACAAGAGAGAGAAGGAUCUAUCAUACUUUUAGCCUUAACAUGGGAAGUUUUAGUUGGUUUUAGUUUCAUUACAAUCAGAAAGACCUAAAUAGAUCUAUCACCACUGAAGCUAAAAUGAUUUAAAUAAAUCUGUUAGGGAAGAACAGAGAGGAGUAAUGGCCUGAAACUUUGCUUAAAACUGAAAACAAAGUAAUAUGAAAUAAAAACUGAAAGGAAGAAAAGGAGAACAGGGUGUGGGGGGAUUGUAUUGAUUAGUAUUGAUUAGUAUCCCAUUUAUCUGCUGAAAAAGAAAUCAACCUGGCCAAUCCAACCUGGGCUACAUAUUUUCUCCUACCCCUUGAAGUGAUAAAAUCCAAAGCUAUGUUCCUACAGCUCCAGACUAAACUGCUGUUCUUUUGAUACUUGGAAAAUGUGAUGGUUUGUAAUGAUUGGCCCAGGGAGUGGCACUAUUGGAGGGUGUGGCCCUGUUGGAGUAGU
Molecule: long non-coding RNA, 1160 nt
Organism: Mus caroli (Ryukyu mouse)
Lineage: Eukaryota; Metazoa; Chordata; Mammalia; Rodentia; Muridae
Source: RefSeq, a predicted model, not a curated record